GCCCGCCUAGCUCAAUCGGAUAGAGCGUCAGACUCUUAUGCAUCUGUGAGGCGGAUAAAUCUGAAGGCUGCGAGUUCGACCCUCGCGGUGGGCU
Molecule: non-coding RNA, 94 nt
Organism: Mycena haematopus
Lineage: Eukaryota; Fungi; Basidiomycota; Agaricomycetes; Agaricales; Mycenaceae
Source: the annotation of a GenBank genome assembly